RNAcentral lists this long non-coding RNA (2349 nucleotides) under Brassica rapa (field mustard). RNAcentral describes it as "long non-coding RNA (BRAP_LNC004813)". The stretch from base 122 to 209 matches the Rfam family "mir-156 microRNA precursor family". The record is from RNAcentral. Lineage: Eukaryota; Viridiplantae; Streptophyta; Magnoliopsida; Brassicales; Brassicaceae.
UUAUAUAAUUGCUAUCAAAUUAGUUUUAGGGACUGCGGCUACUAUAAUAACAUGAGGAUCAUAUGCAUGCAUGAAGAUGAAGAUACUAAUCGAAGAAGGUAAGUAUAAUACAAUAAGGAAGGCGACAGAAGAGAGUGAGCACACAUGGCUCCCUUUUUUCUAGCAUGCUCAUGCAAGAAAGCUCUGCGUGCUCACCCUCUUCUUGUCUCCUUCUCUCUUUACAUAUAUAUAGUGUUUAGUAUUUCUGAGUAUUUGUAUAUUUACAUAUAUGCAACUGCAUGCAUGGCAGCAUGAACGAUGAGAAAGUCUAUAUAGAUGGACAUACAAAUCAAAUAAUCAAUACUAACAUUUUGUUUGCUAGUUGAAGUAUACAGAUCAAUCUUAAAUCUUUUUCAUUGUUGUUUUAUGCCUCACAUACAUACACUACUGGUACUUAUACUAUUCAAAAGUGUUGCAGUUAGCAAAAUCUUCAUCAUAAAUGCUCAAAUAGGUGCUGGAGAGCUCUUUUUUUUUUGUGAAUCAGUCGCGGAUUUAUACACAGACCAUGGUAUAGAUAAUUGAUGAUUAAAAACUAAUUAAUAAACAUUACAUCAAUUUGAAAUAAGGAUACAUAGAGUUUUUGUUUGUUCAAAGGACCCUUUGUUGAAAGGAUACAUAGAGUUUUACAACCAUGCGUCUGUGGUCGAGUGGUUAAGGCGUUCUGUGGAUUUCCAAGGGACCCGAGUUCAAAUCCGCAACACACCAGAUUUCCACGCGCGUGGCCACCGAGGUUUUUGACAUUCUCGGUCCGGGGAAUUAUUUACCAUUUUUUUACAUAGAGUUUUAUUUGUUGAAAGGAUGAGCUUUGGAGUUAAAAAAAAAAGAAAUUUGCCAAAAUAGAACAAAAAAAUAAACUCUUUGUCCCCUUAGUAUAAAAUUAAAACCAACCUAAAUUAGCCACUUUAGUAUAAUAUUUUUAAAAUCUCCAAUCUAUACCUUACUUAGUUAACAAUUUAAAAACUCACUUUUAUAUAUCAAUUAAAAACAAAAACGAAUUUUGAACCCAAAAAAAGAAAAAAAAUUAAAUCAAAAUCUAAUUAAAAAAAUCUAAAUAGAAACAAAAAAAAGAAAAAAAAUACUCAAAUGAAUUUAAUAUUUGAAUUCUGUUUAGUUUUAUUUUUUGAUUAUUAUAAAAAAUUGUCAUAAUUUUCUACAAUUUGAUUUAAUAUACCUUAAUCCAAAAAACAUAAAUGAAAAUAUAUCUAAGAUUAUAAUUCUAAAUAUCGACAUAUAUAUUUUUAAUAUACUUUAAAAUAAUUCAAUUUUUUUUUGAAAAUCAAUUUUAGAAAAUAAAUAAAUGAGAAUCGAUUUUUUAUUUUUAUUUUUUGGCAAGAAAAAUAGAUGAAACACGUUUUAGGAAAGUAAAUAGAUUUUAAAAUAUUUUUAGAAUAUAUUGUAACCGAACUUGCCAUAUUUUCAAAAAUAUUGGUAUUCUUAUCCGUAUAAUGUACCUUCUACAUUGCGUAGAAACAGCACAAUAAUUCCAUAAGUAGAUUUUACCACAUGUAGCCGUCUGAAUUGUGUCUAAAUUUUGCAUACUUGAAAUUUUAGAAUAUCUCAUAAAAGUAGAAACUACAUUCACAAAAAAAUAUAGCUAUCUUCACAAUUAGUAGAAUUCACAUUUCUCACAUUUAGAAAUUUAAUUAAAAGUAGAUUGUACGUUUUAAAACAAAUCUGAAAUUCUAUUUCUACUAACCCAUUUUUCGUAUAAGAUGAAAUCUACUUUUCGUAAAACAUAAUUUAUCAAUUGUUUCAAUUUUGUAUAAUUGUUUUGAAUCAUAAAACUAUUUAUUUCAUUAUGUUUUAAAAUGAAAAAUGUAAAAGGGAUAAAAUGGACUAAAAUGGUUUUAUACCAAAUGGAUAAAUAGGCUGGAUUUUUGUUCCGUUUUGACAAAUUUCCCUCAAAAAAGGAGGACUAGUUAAGGCUGAAGGGUUCUCAUGAGAAGGAGAAAUUAUAAAUAGCAAGAAAAGAUCAUAAAGGAACUCGGGGAACUCACUAAAGGAGCAAGAGACAAGAGGCAUGAGGCUUGAAGAUUAAUUGUGUGCUUCUGCUUCAUGACAUUUGAAGAGAAGUAAGUUGAGGAUCAGAGAUUCGAUUGUUUGUUUGUGCUUAUAUUCAUAUAAAUGUAGUGAUCUUAAAAAGGUGAAAUCACAAAUUCAUAACCAUAGGUAUUUUAAGUAGAAGAGUGAGAAAAGAGCUACUAAUUUGAGUCCAAUGAUGAUUCUGAAGGGAUGCUAUUUUGUUUCGGAUAAAAUACAUAUACAAUCUCAAAUGAUAACGUAUAUACUGAAGGGAAGCUCUAAUAGUGC